UACGAAGGGGGCUAGCGUUGCUCGGAAUCACUGGGCGUAAAGGGUGCGUAGGCGGGUCUUUAAGUCAGGGGUGAAAUCCUGGAGCUCAACUCCAGAACUGCCUUUGAUACUGAAGAUCUUGAGUUCGGGAGAGGUGAGUGGAACUGCGAGUGUAGAGGUGAAAUUCGUAGAUAUUCGCAAGAACACCAGUGGCGAAGGCGGCUCACUGGCCCGAUACUGACGCUGAGACGCGAAAGCGUGGGGAGCAAACAGG
RNAcentral lists this ribosomal RNA (253 nucleotides) under uncultured bacterium. Its description in RNAcentral is "partial 16S ribosomal RNA". It matches the Rfam family "Bacterial small subunit ribosomal RNA", at positions 524 to 776 of the family's 1533-position model. The record is from RNAcentral.